Molecule: ribosomal RNA, 488 nt
Filed under: uncultured bacterium
Lineage: Bacteria
Description: bacterial SSU rRNA
Rfam family: Bacterial small subunit ribosomal RNA
Source: RNAcentral
GACGAACGCUGGCGGCGUGCUUAACACAUGCAAGUCGAACGGGGUCCAUCCAGUGGCAACACUGGUGAAGACCUAGUGGCGAACGGGUGAGUAACACGUGAGGAACCUGCCCUGAAGAUCGGGAUAAGCCGGGGAAACCUGGUCUAAUACCGAAUGCCUUCGCACCCCCGCAUGAGGGAGCGAAGAAAUGGAUUCCGCUUCAGGAGGGUCUCGCGGCCUAUCAGCUUGUUGGUGGGGUAACGGCCUACCAAGGCUCCGACGGGUAGCUGGUCUGAGAGGACGAUCAGCCACACUGGGACUGAGACACGGCCCAGACUCCUACGGGAGGCAGCAGUGGGGAAUCUUGCGCAAUGGGCGAAAGCCUGACGCAGCAACGCCGCGUGGGGGAUGAAGGCCUUCGGGUUGUAAACCCCUUUCAGCAGGAACGAAUCUGACGGUACCUGCAGAAGAAGGUCCGGCCAACUACGUGCCAGCAGCCGCAGUAAGAC